AACCUGGACUUCCAUACCAUAUCAUGCCAUAACAUCAAUCAUAUCAUAUGAGGACUAAAGGAUCAUCCAAUAACCAAUCCCCAUCAACAUCAACAUCAUAAAUGCAAUGCAACAUAUUCGUGAAUACUAAUGCAAACAACCUAUUAUAUCUCAUGGCAUUCAUGAUGCAUGGGUCAUGCUCAAAAUUCAUAUUUCAUUUAAAUUAAAACUUAAGGUUUAUUCCACUCAC
This 229-nucleotide long non-coding RNA is filed under the name Manihot esculenta (cassava). Its description in RNAcentral is "long non-coding RNA (MESC_LNC009206)". The record is from RNAcentral. Lineage: Eukaryota; Viridiplantae; Streptophyta; Magnoliopsida; Malpighiales; Euphorbiaceae.